UGCGGUGCGGUCCUACACAUGCAGUCGAGCGGGCCUUCGGGUCAGCGGCAGACGGGUGAGUAACGCGUGGGAACGUACCAUUUGCUACGGAAUAACUCAGGGAAACUUGUGCUAAUACCGUAUGAGCCCGAAAGGGGAAAGAUUUAUCGGCAAAUGAUCGGCCCGCGUUGGAUUAGCUAGUUGGUGGGGAUGAUAAGGCCUACCAGGGCGACCAUCCAUAGCUGGUCUGAGAGGAUCCUCACCCACACUGGGACUGACACACAUUAAAAAAUCUAGACGGGAGGCAGCAGUGUCGAAAUAUUGGACAAUGGUGCGCAAGCCUGAUCCAGCCAUGCCGCGUGAGUGUAUGAAGGCCCUAGGAUUGUUAAGCUCUUUCACCGGUGAAGAUAAUGACAGUAACCGAAGAAGAAGCCCCGUCUAACUUCGUGCCAGCAGCCGCGAAAAUACGAAGAGGGGCUAGCGUUGUUCGGAUUUACUGGCCGUAAAGCGCACGUAGGCGAACUAAUAAGUCAGGGGUGAGAUCCCGGCCCUCAACCCCGGAACUGCCUUUGAUACUGUUAGUCUUGAGUAUGGGAGAGGUGAGUCCAAUUCCGAGUGUAGAGGUGAAAUUCGUAGAUAUUCGGAGGAACACCAGUGGCGAAGGCGGCUCACUGGACCAUUACUGACGCUGAAGUGCGAAAGCGUGAGGAGCAAACAGAACUAGAUACCCUGCCAGUCCACGCCGUAAACGAUGAAUGGUAGCCGUUGGGGAGUUUACUCUUCGGUGGCGCAGCUUAACGCAUUAAACAGUCCGGCCUGGCGGAGUACGGUAGCAAGAUUAAAACUCAAAGGAAUCGACCGCGCAGCCCGGCACAAGCGGUGGUAGCAUGUGGUUUUAAUUUCGAAGCAACGCGUCAGAACCCUUACCAGCCCUUUGACAUCCCUGAUCGGCGGAUAAGUGCAGACACUAUCCUUCAGUUCAGACUGGAAUCCGAGACAGGUGCUGCAUGGCCUGUCCGUCAGCUAGUGUCGUUGAAAUGCUCGCAUAAGUCCCCCAACGAGCCCAACCCUCUGACCUUAGUUGCCGAGCAUUCAAGUUGGGCACUCUAAGGGAACUCGCCAGGGGAUAAGCCGAGAGGAAGGUGCCGAUGACGCUCAAGUCCUCAUGGUCCUUACGGGCUCUGGCUACACACGCUGCUACAGAUUGGGGGUGACAGUGUGUGCAGCGAGCACGCUGAGUGUGAGCUAAUCUCCAAAAGCCAUCUCAGUUCGGAUUGCACUCUGCAACUCGAGUGCAUGAAGUUGGAAUCGCUAGUAAUCGCGGAUCAGCAUGCCGCGGUGAAUACGUUCCCGGGCCUUGUACACACCGCCCGUCACACCAUGGGAGUUGGUUUUACCCGAAGGCGCUGUGCUAACCGCAAGGAGGCAUGCGAACACGUUGUCUGUUUUA
RNAcentral lists this ribosomal RNA (1429 nucleotides) under Ochrobactrum sp. RNAcentral describes it as "bacterial SSU rRNA". It matches the Rfam family "Bacterial small subunit ribosomal RNA". Lineage: Bacteria; Pseudomonadati; Pseudomonadota; Alphaproteobacteria; Hyphomicrobiales; Brucellaceae. The record is from RNAcentral.